RNAcentral lists this RNase P RNA (319 nucleotides) under Fervidobacterium changbaicum. RNAcentral's name for it is "RNase P RNA component class A". It matches the Rfam family "Bacterial RNase P class A". Rfam says of the family: Ribonuclease P (RNase P) is a ubiquitous endoribonuclease, found in archaea, bacteria and eukarya as well as chloroplasts and mitochondria. Its best characterised activity is the generation of mature 5'-ends of tRNAs by cleaving the 5'-leader elements of precursor-tRNAs. Lineage: Bacteria; Thermotogati; Thermotogota; Thermotogae; Thermotogales; Fervidobacteriaceae. The record is from RNAcentral.
CGAGGGGAGUGGACAGGCGCGGGCGGUCGCACAAGGCUGACCUGAGGAAAGUCCGGACUCCGUGGGCAGGAUGCUGGCUAACGGCCAGGUGGUGUGAGCCACGGACAGGGCCAUAGAAACGAAAACCGCCCUAUUUUAGGGCAAGGGUGGAAAGGUGAGGUAAGAGCUCACCAGCGGUGCAGCGAUGCACCGGCUUGGCAACCCCCAUCCGGAGCAAGGUCAAGCAGGGGGUAGGGUGGCUCCGCCCAAAUUCCCCCGGGUAGGCCGCAUAGACAGAUGCCUGUCUAGACAGAAUCCGGCUUACAGCUUCCCUCGGGUA